AUUGAACGCUGGCGGCAGGCCUAACUCAUGCAAGUCGAGCGAGCGGCGGACGGGUGAGUAAUGUAUGGGGACUGCCCGGUAGACGUGGAUAACUACUGGAAACGGUGGCUAAUACCGCAUACUAACGGCUAACCCACAUGGGAUUAGCUAGUAGGUGGGGUAAAGGCUCACCUAGGCGACGAUCUCUAGCUGGUCUGAGAGGAUGAUCAGCCACACUGGGACGGAGACACGGCCCAGACUCCUACGGAGGCAGCAGUGGGGAAUAUUGCACAAUGGGCGAAAGCCUGAUGCAGCAAUGCCGCGUGUAUGAAGAAGGCCUUAGGGUUGUAAAGUACUUUCAGCGGGGAGGCGUUACCCGCAGAGGAAGCAACGGCUAACUACGUGCCAGCAGCCGCGGUAAUUC
RNAcentral lists this ribosomal RNA (403 nucleotides) under uncultured bacterium. Its description in RNAcentral is "partial 16S ribosomal RNA". It matches the Rfam family "Bacterial small subunit ribosomal RNA", at positions 30 to 526 of the family's 1533-position model. The record is from RNAcentral.